Long non-coding RNA from Equus caballus (horse), 3041 nucleotides. NCBI's taxonomy places the organism in Eukaryota, Metazoa, Chordata, Mammalia, Perissodactyla, Equidae. The record is from Ensembl.
GACAAAGAAGCAGAGAAUGCAGAGAGAAAGAGACCAACUGCUCGCUAAGCUACAGUGACAGAGAGGAACAACAAAGUAACAGAUAGAAAUAGUUGCAUUGUGACAAGUUGCAGGGAGGAGAGAAAAACACUUUAUAGAAAGGGAGGAAGGCAAGUUUCCCUGGAGGCGGCAGCUGGAAAGAUUUCCACUGGGAGGAAGAUGCACACGGGAGGCUGUGGGUGAGGAGGGUAGCUGGGGGGCUGUGCGGGGGACUCAGAGCAGCAGGGUUCUGAGUGCUGGGAGUCACCCCAGAGACACAGCACCGCUGCCUCUGCCGGCCCUGAUGUACUGCCAACCUCUAGCAGCCCCCAGAAAAGCAGUUUCCAACAGGUCCUGCCAUCCAUGGCUGAAACCCAAGGGGAGUGUGGAGUUGAGAUGUGGGAGAGGGGAAGAGGGUGCCAGAAACACCCUCCCUUACAACCAAGGAGCCAGAGCUCUGAUUUCUAACACCACCUCCAGGAAGCCUUCCCAGCCCACUGUUUAGGCAGCAGAGCUCCCCAUGAUCCAUCCAGAGCCAGGAUGAAGAGGCAGGAGUGCCAAGCAGUGACCAGCGCUCAGGGAGAGAAACCACAGAUUCGUCCAACGACCUUGAGCGAGAAGGAGCUUCCUUUCUUCAGGCCGCAGUUCUCCCAUUGAUGGAGAGAGGAACCACCCAGGCUGCCUAAGUAUAGAGUGUCGCCAAACAGAUGUAGUCUUGUUCCUCGAAAGAAAAGCUGCCGCCGGGAGGAGGGGGCAGGCCCAUCUCAUGGACGCAGUGGCCCGGCUCAGAUUUUCACAGAUGCUGCAUCCCUCUUGAAGCCUUCUUAGGGAAGCCAGUUCUGUCCCUCCUGAUCCUGGCACCCGCUCGGCCUCCUUGUGCCACUUGAUCUGCCCUCCUUCUCCAAGAAGUCUCGGGGGCACCCUGUCCAGCUCUGAGUCUCGUCCUAGAUGACCAGGAGGGUCUGCGGGGCCUGGCCAAAUGCUGGAUUGAGAAGCUGGGGCUGUUUGUCCACUUCCUUGAAGGUGGGCUGGCCUGGUGACUGGUGGACCAGGAGGAUGAGGGGGAAGUGAUGAUGUGGAACUUCUGGACGCCAAGGAGCCUUGCGACUUCCACCUGGGCCCUCAGGCCACUCAUUCUUGGGACACUCCCUCUUGAAACCCAGCCAUCAGGCUCUGAGAAGCCCAAGCCAUGUGAAGAAGCCAUAGAUGAGGCAACUGAGGCUCAGAGAGGUGAAGUCACUUGCCCCAAAGGACACAGCCGGUGAGUGAGGGGUUGCACGUGAAUCCAGAUGGCCCGGCCGCAAAGCCUUUCUCUCAACUCCUCCACCAGCCUCCAGUGGUCACAUCCUCAUUCUGAAUCUUUUCUGUUGUGUCCUCUCCACUUGGUGACUUUAGAGUUGACCAACUGAAUUCAGGAACUCCUAGAGGGCAGGGCACCCCAAAGCCUGAGCCAGCAUGUGGGAAGAGGCAUUUGGUUGAGAAGUUCUGAAGACAAAGAUGAUGAUGGGGAUCAGGUCAAGUUGUAGGCCUGGCACCCACUCAGGAAGUCCCACAAAGCAGGCAGCCUGGCCCUUAGUUACCCCAGAGCAUACUUUUCACUUUUCAUCUUUUCCACAGUGGAGCUCCUCAGAUUUUCACUGUGGAGUUUCCAACUGAGGAGUCAGCUCAGAAAAGGCAGAGCUCCUCAUGCCUGUUUGUUGUUUCAAGACUCACAAAGGAGGGGGAGGCCCUGGUCUGUAGCAAUUCCUAGGGGUAUGGAUAGAGGGUAGAGGACACUUCCUCUGCUGGAGCAAUAAUCUUAUCUUUUUUGCCUCUUUCCUUCCUCCUGAAGCAACAUCUAAAACUAAAAUAAAAGCCUCCAUAAUAAAAAAGUCUGCAACCCAUGCAUGCAAGAUGAUUUUAGGUGUUACUCAAGAUGUUUAAUCAUGAUACAUGGGCAAGACAUUAAAUAACAUUAUAUGACAUGAUUCUCUUUAAAAAUUCCUCCUAUCCUUGAAAAAGUGCUCAAAUUUGCUAGUCAUCGGGGAACUGCAAAAUAAAACCACAGUGAGAGACAACUAUAUGUCCACCAGAAAAGAUGGAAAAUGCCAAGUAUUGGCAAGGAUGGAGAGCUAGUGGCACUCUCAGAUAUUGCUGAUAGGAUUGCAGACCCAUACAUUUACAUGGCAAGACUUUCUGGCUCUCUCUAUUAAAGCUGACCACAUGUACAGCCCCUGGCCCAGAAAUCCCAGGUCUAGGUAUAGACCCAACAGAGAUGUGUGCUCAUGAUCCACAAACAAUGUGUUCUAGGAGGUUCUCAGCAGCUGUGUUCACAGAAGUCAAAAACUGGAAACUCUUGGGACCGGCCCCGUGGCCGAGUGGUUAAGUUUGCGCGCUCUGUUGCGGUAGCCCAGGGUUUUGCCGGUUCGGAUCCUGGGCAUGGACAUGGCACUGCUUAUCAAGCCAUGCUGAGUUGGCAUCCCACAUGCCACACUAGAAGGACCCACAACUAAGAAUAUACAACUAUGUACCGGGGGGCUUUGGGGAGAAAAAGGAAAAAAGUAAAAUCUUUAAAAAAAACAGAACAAAACUGGAAACUCUCCAGAUGCCCAUCAACAGCAGGAUGGACAGAUAACUUGUGGUGCAGUCAAACUACGGAACAUGACCCAACAAGGAGAAAGAACCAGUAAACUAUAUGCAAGAAUAUGGAAGAAUUUCACAGACAGAAUGUUGAGCAAAAGAAGCCAGAGACAAAAAGGCUGCAUGUUGUAUGUUUUCAUUUAGGGGAAAUGCAAAAACAGGCAAAAGUCAUCCCUGGUAGUAGAUGUCAGGAUCAUGGCUACCCUUGGGGGGCGGAGGUGGUGAUGACUGGCAGGGAGCCUGAAGGGGGCUUCUGACCUUAGUGUUCUUCUUCUUCACCCAGGGACUGGUUAUAUCGGGUAGUCGAUUUGUGAACGUUUAUCAUAUGUGAUAUGUGUUUUAUCACUUAUGAUAUCAUAAAUGGUAAUGAUAAAAUAUAUCAUAAUUUUAUCAUUUAUGACAUG